RNAcentral lists this ribosomal RNA (279 nucleotides) under uncultured bacterium. Its description in RNAcentral is "partial 16S ribosomal RNA". It matches the Rfam family "Bacterial small subunit ribosomal RNA", at positions 506 to 784 of the family's 1533-position model. The record is from RNAcentral.
UGCCAGCCGCAGCGGUAAUACGUAGGAUGCAAGCGUUGUCCGGAAUCACUGGGCGUAAAGGGUCCGUAGGCGGUUAGUUAAGUCUCCUGUGAAAGUUCAAGGCUCAACCUUGAAAUGUCGGGGGAUACUGGCAAACUUGAGACUGUCAGAGGCAAGUGGAAUUCCCGGUGUAGUGGUGAAAUGCGUAGAUAUCGGGAGGAACACCAGUGGCGAAAGUGGCUUGCUGGGACAGUUCUGACGCUGAGGGACGAAAGCGUGGGUAGCAAACCGGAUUAGAUA